This 1941-nucleotide small RNA is filed under the name Pongo abelii (Sumatran orangutan). RNAcentral's name for it is "retained intron". Lineage: Eukaryota; Metazoa; Chordata; Mammalia; Primates; Hominidae. The record is from RNAcentral.
ACAGUUUUCACAAAGGUCUCUUGAUAUCAAAACUUCUUUCCUUACAUGCUUCUCUGAUCCUGUGGAGAUGAAAAUUGACAUCCAUAGUCAUAUUCUACCAAAAGAAUGGCCAGAUCUAAAAAAGAGGUUCGGCUAUGGAGGCUGGGUGCAGCUCCAACACCACAGCAAGGGAGAAGCAAAGUUGUUGAAAGAUGGGAAAGUCUUCAGAGUGGUGCGAGAGAAUUGCUGGGAUCCAGAAGUUCGUAUUAGAGAAAUGGACCAAAAAGGAGUAACAGUGCAAGCCCUUUCCACAGUUCCUGUCAUGUUUAGCUACUGGGCCAAACCUGAGGACACUUUAAACCUGUGCCAGCUUUUAAACAACGACCUUGCCACCACCGUUGCGAGCUACCCCAGGAGGUUUGUGGGUCUGGGGACGUUGCCCAUGCAGGAUCCUGAGCUGGCGGUCAAGGAGAUGGAGCGCUGUGUGAAAGAGCUGGGCUUUCCCGGGGUCCAAAUUGGCACCCACGUCAACGAGUGGGACCUGAACGCGCAGGAGCUCUUUCCUGUCUAUGAGGCAGCCGAAAGGCUGAAGUGUUCCCUGUUCGUGCAUCCCUGGGACAUGCAGAUGGAUGGACGAAUGGCCAAAUACUGGCUCCCUUGGCUCGUAGGAAUGCCAGCAGAGACCACCAUAGCCAUUUGCUCCAUGAUCAUGGGUGGAGUAUUUGAGAAGUUUCCUAAACUGAAAGUGUGUUUCGCACAUGGCGGCGGUGCCUUCCCCUUCACAGUGGGAAGAAUCUCCCAUGGAUUCAGCAUGCGCCCAGAUCUGUGUGCCCAGGACAACCCAAUGAAUCCGAAGAAAUACCUUGGUUCCUUUUACACAGAUGCUUUGGUUCAUGAUCCUCUGUCCCUCAAGCUGUUAACAGAUGUCAUAGGAAAGGUAAGCCCAGUCUGCUACUUGGACGGCUUAUGGGGAGCAAAAUGCUGCAUCAGCAACCCAUUCUCUCUCCUUUUUUGGCCUCUCUCCAAAAAAGGGACGGAAGAAAGGUAUUAGAUGAAAGGAGAAAGACAGUGAGGUUUGGGAUUAGGGUUGCUCACACAGGGGAUUCUCUCCAGGGUCUCCCUCCACACAGAGUAUAUAAUACUAAGAAACUAUUAUAUAUGCCAGAGAAAUCCAAGAUCAUCUACAUGGCUGGGUAUUCCCCCAGAUCAGCUCCUCUUCCUUAGCGACAUCCCUAUAUACACCCAAAAUGACACAUGGCAAUGUAGUAAGCAGGAAAGGGGCACAAGUUUCAAAGUCAAAUUGACCUGGGUUAAAAUCCUGGCUCUACCUUUCACUAGUUGGGUAAAUUGUGAAUGCAACUGUCUUCAUCCGCUACAUGGAGAAAAUUGGAACACUGAAAGGAUGGAAAAUGCAUAGUUGGGAAAUUGCAUUGGACAGGGAGUCGGGGAAGAUGAUGAACGGUCUUGUGUACCAUGCCCUGAGAUUUCUUCCUGGAAUAAUAUGGCUUUUGAUUCUCUCAUUUAAUUAAAACACCAGAAUGGUGGUACUUUAAAGCGCACAAGAAAAAGUCUUUCCUCUGAUGUAGUCUCCUCGCCAAUCUCUCUGUUGGUGGCACAUCCACCCUUUAAGUAUUCUUUAAAAAUGCUAACUCAGCAAGUUCAAGAAUUUCUAGGGAAAAGGCCAUAGUGAAAAGUCUAAAAUAUUUUGUAUUUCAAUUCCAUCUUAUUACUUACAGAUAUCUAUAGAAGAUUUCCACAUUUUCCCAAGGGAAAAAUCUUUGGGGUUAAAAGUAUAUAGACAUAUUUAAAAAUUUGCAAUAUGGUACUUGAGUUUAGACUCUAAGGUUUAAAAAAAUCAUGUCUAGCAAAAAGAGGCCCAUCAUUUGAAAGUUGCAAGUAGUGGCUUAUCUCCAGAAUGGACACUUUAUCUCAUAUUAAUGCUGACUGUUUCUCUGGCUUGAG